Macaca fascicularis (crab-eating macaque) is the source of this 148-nucleotide unclassified non-coding RNA. It matches the Rfam family "Metazoan signal recognition particle RNA". Rfam says of the family: The signal recognition particle (SRP) is a universally conserved ribonucleoprotein. The record is from Ensembl. Lineage: Eukaryota; Metazoa; Chordata; Mammalia; Primates; Cercopithecidae.
GCUGGGCGUGGUGGCGGACGCCUGUAAUCCCAACUACUCGGGAGGCUGAGGCAGGAGAAUCGCUUGAACGCGGGAGGCGGAGGUUGCAGUGAGCUGAGAUCGCACCAUUGCACUCCAGCCUGGGUGACAGAGCGAGACUCUGUCUCAA